This 552-nucleotide long non-coding RNA is filed under the name Ananas comosus (pineapple). Its description in RNAcentral is "long non-coding RNA (ACOM_LNC026659)". The record is from RNAcentral. Lineage: Eukaryota; Viridiplantae; Streptophyta; Magnoliopsida; Poales; Bromeliaceae.
AUCUGAUGCAAAUACAGAAUCUGGGUCCACCGUCAACCACGACGGCACCCGACCGUCCGAAACAGUCUACACACUACUGUAAAAUAAACUCGGCAUCCCAGCACGAGCAUAAAUUCUUUCUACACUAAUCUGAGUAUCCAUCGCGUACAAACUGCGGCAAUACAAACAAACUACAGCUCCUAAAGCUAAAUCUGGUAGUUUUCAGAAAAUGACAGUGUAGGAUCUACAGUUUUCUCCUAAGUCAAUUCCAAGUCCAAUAUGUAAAAUUAUAUUACUACUACUUAACUCCAAAUUCAGAUUUUAAGCCUAAUCCAUGAAUUCGAGUAUUAGCAAGAAAAAAAAUACACAAUACAUGUUGACGAUAUAAAAACUUAGGAGGUAUUCUGGCGAUUUCGGUAAACUUCAACUCACCUCGAAACACUAAUCCAACCAUGGCGAGAAGUCGAAAGAAGGGAAACACGCGUUCGCCCGGCCACCAACAGCGCAACCGCGACGCACGCACCCUCGAACGGCCCUCCGGAUCGACGUCGAAAAUCACCCGAGCUCUAGCCA